AAUGGGCUUACGCCUGAACCAGCCAAGUCGCGUGAGGGAAGACUGCCCUAUGGGUUGUAAACCUCUUUUGUCAGGGAGCAACAACAUCUACGAGUAGGUGUUACGAGAGUACCUGAAGAAAAAGCAUCGGCUAACUCCGUGCA
RNAcentral lists this ribosomal RNA (143 nucleotides) under uncultured bacterium. RNAcentral describes it as "partial 16S ribosomal RNA". It matches the Rfam family "Bacterial small subunit ribosomal RNA", at positions 370 to 509 of the family's 1533-position model. The record is from RNAcentral.